GCCACUACUAGAAAAAGUUUAAAUACCGACGGAAUUUAGAGACAAAAUUUGUUUCUUCUCUAUUAGAGACGAAAUUAGAGACAGAAAAAAAUAAUCAGAGACGAAAAUUAAAAUAUGUGUAUUAGUGACAGAUGUUAGAGACCGAAUAUCCCGUCUCUAAAUCACUCUGUCUCUAAAUCUGUCUCUAGUUGAUUAUUUUUAUAAUUAUAAAUAGAAAAUAAUAGUUUGAGACAGAUUUUAGAGACGGACUUUAACCGUGUCUAAUUUUUUUGUCUCUAUAUCCGUCUCUAACAAGUCAAAUUGUUAUUAAAAUAGUCAAACUUUUAUUAGAGACGAAAAAUAUCUGUCUCUGAGUAUUUUCGUCUCUAUUGUUUGUCUCUAAAUUUGAGGGCCUCAAUAUUUGUUUUCAAGCCCAACAUACAAAGCAUUGCUCAUGUAUUAUUGCGGAGAUAUAGUUACAAAAGAAGUCAAAUGGCGUAGUGGUUUGUGUUAAGUUCCUACUGUCUUGGGUGCGAUAGUUCUACUCUCACCUAUGGUUGUUUUUUUUAUCUUAUAUAUAUAUAUAUAUAUAUAUAUAUAUAUAUAUAUAUAUAUAUAUAUAUAUAUAUAUAUAUAUAAAUAUUAUUUUUAUAUAUAUUUUCAAUAUUUUUUAUGUGAAAUUAUAAUAAAAGAUAUACAAGGAUGGCCUGUUGUUGCUUUAUUCCUAAAUAUAGAGGGAUGACCCUCUAAAAUUGCUUAAACAAAAUACAUACAUCUAUAAACUUUCAAAAACUUCUUUGAAAACAAUAUUGAUGGUAGUCUUCAAUGCUUUGUCUUCUUUUUCAUGGAUUAAAAUUUUAAGUCCUUUUUCCUCCUUACCCUUGAGAUUGUCACAAGCUUCUUUGAAAACAACAUUGAUUUUUUUAUAAAAUCAAUAGCUCGUGACAUAUUUGGAACACUUAGAGAAUCAAGAGUUAUUUGUAGGUUAUUUAUAAGUAAAGAAUAUGUUCCUCAAUAAGUUGCUUAAAUAGAAUAGAUUGCUGAGUUAAUCGUAUUCAUCUGUUUGUUUUUGUUUUGAAAACUUGGUAUCCCCCCCUAUGACCGAUUAAUUCAAAGAGACCAAUCCCACCAUCCACUUGCGGGACCCAUUUAAAGCUAGAGUUUUUUUCCUCUAUAUAUGGACUUAGCCCACUAAAAUUGGCACCAGGAGGAAUCGAAUCCGAGACCUUGAGAAGAUAAUACUCCAAGGACCCAAGCCAACACGACUAGACCAACCCCUAGUGGGUUUGUUUAAAUCCUAUCUAUAAUCGGGCUUCUCUUCCUCCGUCCCGCUAGCGAAACUAUCCGCCACUUCUCUGGCCUCAGUUUGUGAAGACUCGCAUCUCACACCAGGACUCGUUAGAUGAAUAAGUGCAUGUAGUGGUGGUUGAUUGUUAAAGGAAGGGAGUAACAACAAGCAAAGAAUCGUUUGAGUUGUUUUGAUCAAAAAGAGGGUUGAUGAUGCAGUGACAAUUUCUACUAGUCAUGGGUGUGAAGAGAUUCAGUGGUGGAGAGAUUCAUGGUCAUACUCCAGGAUUACAUUAAGGUUUGAAUUGACUUCGUUGGCAUGCUUGUUAGCUGCAAGCCUACUAGUGCGAGAGAACAACUAUUUCCCUCGGGUAACUAUUCUUACCGUAAUGAAUCUGCUGGGCAAAACUAUUUGGCGUAUUCAUGAAGAUAGUUUUGAACCAAUUGUAAAAGCAAUUGAAGAAAAUAUAAUUGGCCGAGCGAUGUCACAAUUGUUUGUUCAAUGAGCAGCUUAAGUCAUAAUUCUACGUUUGCGGCAUUUACGGUGUUGUUGCGUUUGUAGAACUUGGAAUUUUUGGACAAAUCAUUUAUAAAAAUUGAAAAAGGUCAAAAAAUAUGUGGCUAAAGUGCUUAUUAGGGAAAGAAAGAAAAAAAAAACAGGAAAUUGGUGAUGUAGAGGAUGUCUUUGUUGGUGAUAUAAGACAUAUUGAAAGUCUUGUUCCUGCAAUUCUCACAAUUGCAGUACCACUGAUGUAACAUGGAUAUGAUCUAAACCAAGAAAUAAUAGCUAUGAGGUUUAGGCAGUUGAAAUAGGAUUAGCUUUUUCAAAUGGAGGACAAUGAACUUGAUUUCUCGCCUCUGGUAUGUGUUCAUCUUCUAGCUGCUAAGUUUGCGUUCAUCUUCCUCCAUGUUGGGUUUGCGUUCAUAGCUGUCCUCGAUGGGUGUAUCUCCUUGUCGAGAUGGAUACUAAGGAAAAUGAUGUGAUGAAGUUUAACUUUAGUUACUUUUUGUUAUAUAUUUUUGUUAAAUUAAUCAUAUGUAUUUUUGUGUUUGACAACUUUAAGUUUGAUAUUAUUAUAUAGUGUCGUAGUGGCAUACUUGAUACUUUGUAAGAAUGACAUACAUUUUUAUGUUAAUGUUUCAAAUUUGGUGUCAA
This is a long non-coding RNA of Trifolium pratense (red clover), 2422 nucleotides long. RefSeq lists it as uncharacterized. The record is from RefSeq and is a predicted model, not a curated record. NCBI's taxonomy places the organism in Eukaryota, Viridiplantae, Streptophyta, Magnoliopsida, Fabales, Fabaceae. The transcript is spliced from 9 exons.